Molecule: ribosomal RNA, 465 nt
Filed under: Vreelandella stevensii
Lineage: Bacteria; Pseudomonadati; Pseudomonadota; Gammaproteobacteria; Oceanospirillales; Halomonadaceae
Description: partial 16S ribosomal RNA
Rfam family: Bacterial small subunit ribosomal RNA
Source: RNAcentral
CCUACGGGAGGCAGCAGUGGGGAAUAUUGGACAAUGGGGGGAACCCUGAUCCAGCCAUGCCGCGUGUGUGAAGAAGGCCCUCGGGUUGUAAAGCACUUUCAGUGAGGAAGAACGCCUGGUGGUUAAUACCCAUCAGGAAAGACAUCACUCACAGAAGAAGCACCGGCUAACUCCGUGCCAGCAGCCGCGGUAAUACGGAGGGUGCGAGCGUUAAUCGGAAUUACUGGGCGUAAAGCGCGCGUAGGUGGCUUGAUAAGCCGGUUGUGAAAGCCCCGGGCUCAACCUGGGAACGGCAUCCGGAACUGUCCAGCUAGAGUGCAGGAGAGGAAGGUAGAAUUCCCGGUGUAGCGGUGAAAUGCGUAGAGAUCGGGAGGAAUACCAGUGGCGAAGGCGGCCUUCUGGACUGACACUGACACUGAGGUGCGAAAGCGUGGGUAGCAAACAGGAUUAGAUACCCGGGUAGUC